UCUGAAGACAAACAAACACAGGUCAACGAGUCUGAGGAGACAUGGUCACCGAAAGCCGCCAGGACUCACAGGACGUUUGGCAAUCCUGCCACUAGUUCAUCUCAGCAGACAGUGGAUUUCCCCGUCCUCUGCAGCGUCACAUGAUCUGGGCUCAGGUUGAUGUCGGUGUUUUGGACCUGAAAGGUUGGGACUGGAUGAGUUGAUGCAGACAGACACCGCAGGCUUCACUUUCAUAUCAGCUGAUCCUGGAUCACUUUCAUACAGUGAUCCUGUCUGGUAUGUCUGUAAUUCAUCCUGCUGAUGGAGAGAUGACAGAUGAGACUUAUUGCUGUGCUGGCAGACGCUGCAGCUCGCCACCGUCGCCACCGUCUCCUCACGCUCUCAACCUAACUUCAUCUCACCUCACAGGGAUCCAGAAAACUAAUAACCGUCUGAGUUCUUCCCUGUAAUGAAGAGAAAACACCUCGCGUUCCCUAAAUUUUCAGUGAAACGUGGUGUGAUGGACGGGUGACCUGUCCACACUCUGUCAGCUGGGAUUGGCACCAGCGACCUCUGUGACCCUUAUGUGGAG
Molecule: long non-coding RNA, 571 nt
Organism: Solea senegalensis (Senegalese sole)
Lineage: Eukaryota; Metazoa; Chordata; Actinopteri; Pleuronectiformes; Soleidae
Exons: 3
Source: RefSeq, a predicted model, not a curated record